AAUGAACGUUGGCGGCAUGGAUUAGGCAUGCAAGUCGGGGGAAUCCCAGCAAUGGGGGAACCGGCGUAAGGGGCAGUAAGGCAUGGGUACCUACCUUGGGGUUCGGGAUAGCCAUCAGAGAUGGUGGGUAAUACCGGAUGACGUCGUGAGACCAAAGAUUUAUCGCCCUUAGAGGGGCCCAUGUGAUAUUAGCUAGUUGGUGGGGUAACGGCCCACCAAGGCGAAGAUGUCUAGCGGGUGUGAGAGCGCGACCCGCGCCACUCGCACUGAGACACUGGCGAGACACCUAGGGGUGGCUGCAGUCGAGGAUCUUCGGCAAUGAGCGCAAGCUUGACCGAGCGAUGCCGCGUGAGCGAUGAAGGCCUUCGGGUUGUAAAGCUCUUUAGUGGGGGAGAAAAGCCGCAAGGUGUGAUCUAUCCCAAAAAUAAGCACGGGCUAAGUUCGUGCCAGCCGCCGCGGUAA
Molecule: ribosomal RNA, 462 nt
Filed under: uncultured bacterium
Lineage: Bacteria
Description: partial 16S ribosomal RNA
Rfam family: Bacterial small subunit ribosomal RNA
Source: RNAcentral